CAGGGAGGGUCACUUUCCUCAGCUCAUCCCUUUCUCCAAACUGUUACUGGGAGGGAUGGCAGCAGAGGGGAAGUCUGACACAAUGGCAUCUGACAAGGAAGUGCACAUGAAACAAAGCCGUGACGUUGAGUUCCACCAUGCAGAAAAAAUGGCACCCAUUGAUAUUCAUCUGCACUUGCUGAACACAUCACACUUAAGGUUCACUUGUCCUAGUGUGUCCAAUUGAAUCAUUCAAAUUUGUGUUGAAGCCUACCAGACAAGCAACAGGAAGUUUACGAGCCUCGGGGAUACUUGUUCCAGCAAUUCUCAAGCAGUGUGAGCAGCUCACUGUACCUUCAGGUCACAUUAUUUAUUGAUUUUAUUUAAAAUGUUGGUCCAUAGAAACAACCUUACAAGGUGUGCUAUAGAUUUUCUUAAGGCUCAAGUAGACAUUAAUAUGAUGCAAGUAAAACUGAUAAAACAGCAGUAUGUCAUCACACUGCAAAAGUAUCCAUAUAUGUGGAAGAAAUUCUCUGUUAUGAGGGUAGUGUUGCACUGGAACAGGUUGUCAAGAGAAGCUGUGGAUUCCCCACCCCUUGAGGUCCUCAAGGCUGGAUUGGAUGCGUCCCUGGGCAACCUGACCUCAUGGUUGGCAGCCCUGCCAAUGGCAGGGGGUGGGAACUGGGUGAGCUUUAAAGUCCCUUCCAACCCAAACCAUGGUAUUGUAUGAUCGACGUAUCUUUUUAAAUAAACUUAAUUCUUCAGUGUUUGAAAACCAAACAGUGGAUGAAUCACUACUUUUAUGCUUGCUUAAGAGAAAAACGGAGCCACUGAACAGACAAAAAGCAAGUGAAGUAGUGGAAAGCCAAAUUAGGUUAGUUUCAUAUCUCUAGACUAAGUAUUGUGGCUUUUAUAAGUUGUUUCCACUUUUGAAGUGCUCUGUAAGUUAGAUGAGAGAUACUGAGAAUACAUAAUAGCUUUCAGAGGCUCUGAGAUCUCUGACAGACAGAUGCUACUGAAUCUUGCUGCAGCCUCAAAGAAGGCAUUGUCGAUUGUUCAUCUCCAUCCUUCAGCUGAAAGUUAUCCUCUGUGUAGUAAAGCUGAAAGAAGCAGAUAUUUGCCCCAAAUUUUACUUCUUCCCAUGACUCAAUAAAGACAUUAGGUUCUAAACUGAAUUGACUGAGACACAGAACUCAUCUUUUCCACUAACUCAUCUAUGUGUAGUGCAAGGACUGAGAAUUAAGAACCUGGAAAAGGAGGUUUUGAACCCUCAUGGCUGUGGACUGCAGGGAUAGAUAUAGAAUCAAUGCCACUGAAUGUCAUAAACUAUAAAAUUAAAUAUUUAAGUGAUUUAGAAAUCUUCACAGGAUCACCUGCUUACAUGAAGUGAGGUAGCCUAGCAAGUCUUUUGCUCUCACUCUGUUAUGGCUUUUGUUAAUGGGAAAAGAAAUAGCUGCUAGUAAAAAGCCACUUCAGCUGCAUUCUUGUUUUGUUAUUCAUCUUGAGGAAGGUGUGUAGUGGAGUUGUAACACCUUAGAUUAGAAUGGUGAUGGAUUAAUACAAAGAUUAAAUUUAUUUGCAGUCCGGAGAAAAGUUAUCUGAAUCAGGACUUUUUUAUGCACUGAUUUUAUGCAUAAACCCAUUAUUUAUUUUCAAAUGAGUAUCAUAACAGCGGGCUGGAGUUUCACGUAACACUGGUUUUACCAUAAAUGAUCUGGAUUUGAGUGGUUGUCCAGUUUUCUCUCAUUAUGAAUUUCGAAAUGCCAUGGUUUGAACCUGAUGGGAAAUGGUAUUUAUGUGUUUGAGCAUUUGUUGUUGUUGUUGUUGUUUGUUUGUUUAAUCUCUUUUGUUUGUUUAUUUUAAAAAAUUCUUGUACAGUGGAAUGAUAAAAAAGCAAACAAGUCUAGGAUGAUAAAUAUUUCUUGUUUAUCAGCUCAAAAAAGCAGUUUAGAGCAUAUUUACUGCAUUUUGCUGUACAAACUAUCAUCAGACAUUGAAAAUUGUAGUGUUAGCUUUAGAAUUGAGGAAAAUUCUCCUUCGAAACUGUUCGUAGUAAGCUGAAUACAUUACACAGCUAAAAAUAUGUAUAAACAUGAACAUAUAAUUGAGAUGGAUGUGCAGGUGGUAUACUUCAGGAAAGAGUUAGAAAAAGAGAUUAAGGUUAAAAGUAUAUUUAAAAGAGGGAUUUUAGAAAUGCAUGCUUUUCUUACACUCAAAUGUGUUGUGAAGUUAAAUAGGAUUCAGUUGUUUGAGGAUUACUUUGUGUACUACUUGGAUUUAAAUCACAGGGCAUUUCAGAUCAGCUACUGUGUUCAAAGUAGCUGCUGUUAAAGGAUUUAUACAAGAUACCGCUUCCAGGGUAUUAGUACAGCAGGUUGUCUUCUAACUGAAUUUGAAGUCAACUGCAGGUUUCAUAUUAUCCUUGUCAAAUUUUUUGUUUAUUUGGUUGGUUUCUUUGAGCAAUCUUGAUCUGCUGUUUAAAAGUGUUUACUGGUUCAAAAUUAUUGACAUUAUUUACAAUAUUUAAAACAAAG
This 2513-nucleotide long non-coding RNA is filed under the name Gallus gallus (chicken). Lineage: Eukaryota; Metazoa; Chordata; Aves; Galliformes; Phasianidae. The record is from RNAcentral.